Molecule: non-coding RNA, 73 nt
Organism: Lineus longissimus
Lineage: Eukaryota; Metazoa; Nemertea; Pilidiophora; Heteronemertea; Lineidae
Source: the annotation of a RefSeq genome assembly
GCCUCUGUAGCGUAAUGGAUAACGCGCUGGACUUCUAAUCCAGAGAUUCUGGGUUCGAGUCCCAGCAGAGGUG